UACGAAGGGUACAAGCGUUGUUCGGAAUUACUGGGCGUAAAGCGCGCGUAGGCGGAUGAGUAAGUCGAUUGUGAAAUCCCUGGGCUUAACCUGGGAACUGCAGUCGAAACUGCUUAUCUUGAGUGCCUGAGAGGAUGGCGGAAUUCCCGGUGUAGUAGUGAAAUACGUAGAUAUCGGGAAGAACACCUGAGGCGAAGGCGGCUAUCUGGCGGUGCACUGACGCUGAGGCGCGAAAGCGUGGGGAGCAAACAG
This 252-nucleotide ribosomal RNA is filed under the name uncultured bacterium. RNAcentral's name for it is "partial 16S ribosomal RNA". It matches the Rfam family "Bacterial small subunit ribosomal RNA", at positions 524 to 775 of the family's 1533-position model. The record is from RNAcentral.